Molecule: long non-coding RNA, 2426 nt
Organism: Equus caballus (horse)
Lineage: Eukaryota; Metazoa; Chordata; Mammalia; Perissodactyla; Equidae
Source: Ensembl
GCUACUCUUUAUUGAGCACUUAUUACAUGGACCUGUAGGAACUAUUUUUUUUUAAGUGACCUAAAAUAACUCAGAUUUAUUCUUUCACAGUCCUGAAGGUCAAAAGUCCCAGUGGGUCUCACAGGCUACAAUCAAGGUGCUGGCGGGGCUGCGUUCCCUCUAGAGGCUCUAGGGCAGCAUCUGUUCCUUCUCUUUCCAGUUCUAGGGGCUGCCCACAUUCCUCCCUCACAUCCCCCUUCCAGCGAUGGCAUCACUUCGACCUCCCUUCCAUUGUCACACCUUCUCUGACUCUAACCCUUGGGUAGGCACUAUUUUAAAUGCAAUCUCUGCACCACUUAACCCUCACUGCAACCCUGAGAUAUUUACUGCCAUUUUACAAAUGAGGGAACUGAGGCACAGAGGGAUUAAGAAGCUUGCACAAAGUCACAGACCUUGAAAAGGGUAAAUCUGGGAUUUACACCUUGGCCUCUCUGUGUUUUUCUUACAACAUCAAAUAUCAAGGAAGUUUAGAGCCUGACUGCUUGGCUUCAGAGCCUGGCUCCAUGUGAUCCUGAGCAAGUUCCUCUAUCCUUCUGAGCCUCGGUUUCUUUAUCUGGAAAAUGGGCAUGAUUGUUACCUCAUGGACUUGCUGGAAGGGCUAAACGCUGCAGGUGAAAGUGCUUGAUGAGUAUCAAAUGACUGACUUCCUUCAGCCCCAGGGGUUUUGUGUUAGGAGCUUUACAUAUGGAAUGAUCACAGAAUUGACCCUCCAAACUGGGAUGCUUUUGAGAGUGAAAGGAGGUGCUAAUUGGAUGUGGUGCCAGGGCCACAAGGCAGAAACUGGGAAUGUCUUACAUCAACAGAGGUUUUGAAAAAUUCUCAGGACUUUGCUUCACGAACAGGAGAAAGAGAUGAACUCAUUUCAUGCCCUGGAAAGGCUUUCCUCACAGACAGCCAAGGAGAGUUAGAGGCACUCAUGCUUCAUUUCAGGGCCUGGGACUCCAGAGGAGGAAAGAAGGUCCUCAGCAGGCAUCUCAUGUUAGGACAGACGUUUCCCACAAGGGGGAACACACUCCCUCCGUGACAGGUCAAACCAGGUAUGGAGUUCACCUAUUUCUUGAUUGCCACCAAAAAAUAAAACAAAACCCAAUUCUAGGUUCUGGGAAAAUAGCAGUGGAUACAUCUUUUAAAAUCUCUCCAAAUUCCUACAUUCAAAAAGGACAGCUGAGGGACUGGCCCCGGGGCUGAGUGGGAUUGUUCAGCAUACUAACCAAGCCUCAGGAGAUGAACAUCUUCUGGCCAUUAAAAGCAGGUUCUACUAGUUCGGUAACAGCAGCUGAGUCACUCUCUCUGCGAUACUGGGCUUGCCAUCAUCCUUUGGAAUGCAUUGGUUCCCUUGUGCUCAGCACCUGCCAGCUCUUCAAUUCCUGUAGAGCUUCCCGUCCAAGUACAACAUCCAUGGUUUCAAUGGAGGCAGCAACCCCACCUGGCAGUGCCUCAGCUCGUAUGGAUGGGCCAGCACUGGCCAUGAGUUAUCAAGCCAGUGAGUCUGAAUCACAGGAUCACACACACGUCCUGAGGAGCGAUGCCUCUCCGCUGGAGUCAUCUUCUGCCUCAUCCAAAACACGUGGAAAAAGAAAACACGUACUCUCCGAAGACCUUCCGCUGACCCCCAACAAGAUCCAAAAUGCAGAGCCAGAAGAGAAAGGGGACUGUUGGGACACUGACAUUUGAAUGGAUUUCCCUUUGGGAGAGCUAAAUCGCUGAGGGAGACAGCAGACACAAACACACACAGACACACACAUUACCUACCAAUGACAAAAUCAGGGUCGUUGCUUGUUUCUCCUGGUAUUGUUUCUUAAGCUUUGGUCACACGUGGCUGUCUAAUGGGUCUUCCAGAUGUCUCUUUGUAUUGGGAUUCAACUAUGAUUGUUUUUCAUGUACUAUUAUUGAUCAUUUUGUUCUGGGGAGGAAUGAAUAAUGAUAGCUAUCUUUAAAAGAAAACUCCCAAAGUAGGUAUUGGUUCAUUCAUGUCUCUGCUCAAGCAGCCUCUACUUCACCUUGGAGAUUCUGGAAGGCAGGAGAGAGAGAGAGGUAUACAAAUUUUUAAAAAAUUGGAACCAGAUAAGGUGAGCCCCACACUUCUUACAUGUGGGUGAGAAGGGAGUGGUUGCUGCUUUUAAUGCUGCUAAGCGUCAGCCACUUGUUCUGCAGUGGUGAGCAAGAUGGCAGUGAUCACGGCAAUGGUGGUGGUGAAAGACGCUCAAAAUGAAGAUGAUUAACAGAGUUACUGCUGGUCUAGGAGGAAUAAAGGGGCCCUUGCAUGUCAUUCAAGAACCUUCUGAUUCCCCAAAUCUCCUUCUCUCUAGCAAGCUGGUGCUCCUAAUAUAUUGACUGUGGCAUAAUAUCUUUCAUUUUUCUACUAGAAAGAAAUAAAUAGGACAAAG